ACAGGUGAUGCUAGCGAGCAGUUUUUGAUAACUUACAGCAGAGUUUUGAUGUCACAACUGAACUUUAUGUUUGGUGUUUUUUGGAGAUCUGCCAGAAUGGUUUGUUGUGUAAGGGUGAAAUAUGGCAAUAGGGGAUGAUGAAACCUUGAUACCCUCCACACCACCUACCCUCUUCUCAUUGCUAUUGUCAUAUCCAGCCAUACAGAAGCAUUGACAAAAGAUGGACUGACUUGCUAAAUGGAAUGUUUUAUGCCCUACUUACGCGGUGACCACAGGUGAUGACACAGCAGUUUUUUUUUUUAGCCUGCCCCAGGUAGCAAUGGUAAAGCAGUCGGGAGUCCGUGAAGCAUGAUAUGUCAGCGCUCUCACCACACCCCCCUCCCCCGCUGUCAUCUGAUGUGGACACAGUCUAAGUCAUUACCAUCCAAAGCAACAUGUUGGCUAAUCCGGGCUCACCUGUCCUGUAAUGAGUUAUGCGCCCUCGGAGAACGCAACGACAGCUCCGGCUCUCACCUGAAGAGGAAGAAAUAAUUACAAAAAAAAAAAAAAAGAGAUAGAGGGAAGCAUCGCUGUGGAUAAAUGCAGGAAUCAAUAUCAUCAGCACUCAUCCUGGCCUUGUGGCAACCUGAUCCGGCCAAAUCCGGGCUGUGCUAAUGAACAGAUCAAAGACAACCUAGCCCUCCCGCGAAACAAUCACACAGCAAUCAAGGACACCCUUUCCAGCCAGUUCUGCAUGUGGGCAAUCAGAAGGUAAGAAAGAGUUGGCGCUUUUGAAGAACAGCGGUACUGUCCAAUGCAUGACCACUGCUCGCUUUAAUCGGUUUUACUGUUACUGUUUCCAUAUUUUUGAUAUUUGUCAAUAAAA
Long non-coding RNA from Liolophura sinensis, 865 nucleotides. RefSeq lists it as uncharacterized. The transcript has 5 exons. The record is from RefSeq and is a predicted model, not a curated record. Lineage: Eukaryota; Metazoa; Mollusca; Polyplacophora; Chitonida; Chitonidae.